UGAAUCCCAAGCAGGAGAGCUGCAGCCCUCCUAGGGGGGCUGGGGGCAUGGAGUGGGAGCUCCAGGGCUUGGUGGAGCUGGCUCUCAGCCCUGUGCUGCAAAGGCAAGAGAGCAGGAGCAAAGGCAGCAUGGAGGUGGCAGUCCGUACCUCACCUUUUUUUGGAACCAUCCACCUGGUGUGUGUGCAGAAGAUCCUUCAGCAUUAAUUACCCCCCUGCAAGGUACGUGAUCAGAGAAUCGUUAAGGUUGGAAAUGGCCUCUGAGGUCCCCAACCUCACCCCACCAUGCCCACUGCCCCUGUCCCUCAGUGCCACAUCUCUGAUGUGUUCUCUGAGUAUUCCCAGGGAUGGAAACCCCACUGCUCCCUGGGCAGCCUGUGCUGGUGCUUUGGAGAAGAACUGAUUCCUGAUGUCCAGGUUGAUCUUCUCCUGGUGCAACGUGAGGCCAUCACCUCUCAUCCUAUCAACACCACCGCCAUCUCCAGCUCUUCUCUAGGCACCCGCUGCAGCCACAGCAGGCAGGUGGUAUGUAAUGCUGAGGUCCAUGUGCAGCACUGUGAUUACACUGAUCUCCUCUUUGGGGUGUCCGGGGCCGAGCUGCUCUCCAUGGAGCCCUGGAGUGACUGCAGAUUGCAAACAGAAGUUUCUGGAACUGGACCAAUGAUUAAAGGGCCCAGAAACUCUCUCGGUGCCCCCCACGCAAGAAGCAUCGCUCCUUUGUGCUAGGAAAUAACGGGUGCUUUAUCCUCGGUCGGGUCCGGCGCGCCGUCCCUUAAUUGCAGCUCCUGCUCGCCGGCGGAGCACCAAAGACAUCUCCUCAUCAGCGGAACCACUGCACGACAUCAAACGAGCGCAUAAACUUUGCAGAAUUUGCCUAUUUAAAAUUAGAAACCCAGCAGGACUGCGCCGUGGACUCAUUUCAGGGAAGGAUUUGGGGUGAGCCGACGCUCUGGGUGAUUAUUAGAGGAAUGAUUAGUGGCCUUCCCAACGCAGGGGUGGAAACGCACACAGCAUUCACAUUUAAUGAGCGUUGCACAAUCCAGGAUCAUCAGUUUACUCACUUUGCGGAGCCCACAGGUCAUAAAAUUCGGGCUGGAUUGUGUGAAGCAUCUCACACAAAGGGCUGCCCGUAACAAAAUAAGCCUUUAAUUAGCAGAACAUCAGGCGAGGCUGAGGUGCAACUUUCCCAGACGUAUCACCGGUGACAUUAAUUACUGACGGACUUUGCAUAUGCAUGACGUGCGCCAUUUUUGCUUGUGCGCUGCUGUUCUCCCUUUGUGGGGCUUUGCUGGGUGCCCCUGGGUUGGGGUGGGGGCACAGCCAUGGCUCCAUCUCUUCUCCCAUUUAUGAUGGGAAUUCCUCCUCGAGGAUGCAACCGCCUGCCUGCCACAACCAUGGGCACGAGGAAGGGAUUCUUCGUUGGGUCUGGUUCUGGCAUUGCAACUUUGGGUUUCACUUCAUUGAGUUCCUGACAGAGCUUGGAGGGGAAAAGCAUGGGGAAACGUCAGCAGCUGACAUGAAUAUAUGAAAUUCAUCAAAACUGGGAAAAACUCAAUUCUGGACCACGACCCGACAUGCCAACAGAUGCAGGGAGUGUCAGACACCACUUUGAAAACCACUGUGGUCUUCUUCAUUACAACUGGAGCUGUACAGCAGGAAACCCUUCAGUGAAGGACGCACAGCGCUGAUGGGAAUUGGAGCGCGUGCGUUUAUCGGCUGUGCUGUU
Molecule: long non-coding RNA, 1725 nt
Organism: Numida meleagris (helmeted guineafowl)
Lineage: Eukaryota; Metazoa; Chordata; Aves; Galliformes; Numididae
Source: Ensembl